AACGUAGGACGCAAGCGUUAUCCGGAAUUACUGGGCGUAAAGCGCGUGUAGGUGGUUUGAUAAGUCACUGUUGAAAGCUCCCGGCUAAACUGGGAGAGGUGCGGUGAGACUGUCAGGCUAGAGUACGGGAGAGGGAUGCAGAAUUCCGGGUGUAGUGGUGAAAUGCGUAGAGAUCCGGAGGAAUACCAGAGGCGAAGGCGGCAUCCUGGCCUGAAACUGACACUGAGACGCGAAAGCAUGGGGAGCGAACGGG
This 253-nucleotide ribosomal RNA is filed under the name uncultured bacterium. Its description in RNAcentral is "partial 16S ribosomal RNA". It matches the Rfam family "Bacterial small subunit ribosomal RNA", at positions 524 to 776 of the family's 1533-position model. The record is from RNAcentral.